This 346-nucleotide ribosomal RNA is filed under the name uncultured bacterium. Its description in RNAcentral is "partial 16S ribosomal RNA". It matches the Rfam family "Bacterial small subunit ribosomal RNA", at positions 338 to 681 of the family's 1533-position model. The record is from RNAcentral.
CCUACGGGUGGCAGCAGUGAGGAAUAUUGGUCAAUGGGCGAGAGCCUGAACCAGCCAAGUCGCGGGAAGGAUGAAGGAUCGAUGGUUGGUAAACUUCGGUUAUAGGGGAAUAAAGUGAGGAACGUGUUCCUUUUUGUAUGUACCAUAUGAAUAAGCAUAGGCUAACUCCGUGCCAGCAGCCGCGGUAAUACGGAGGAUGCGAGCUUUAUCCGGAUUUAGUGGGUUUAAAGGGUGCGUAGGUGGUUAAUUAAGUCAGCGGUGAAAGUUUGUGGCUCAACCAUAAAAUUGCCGUUGAAACGUGUUGACUUGAUUAUAUUUGAGGUAGGCGGCAUGCGUUUUGUAGCGG